RNAcentral lists this ribosomal RNA (253 nucleotides) under uncultured bacterium. Its description in RNAcentral is "partial 16S ribosomal RNA". It matches the Rfam family "Bacterial small subunit ribosomal RNA", at positions 524 to 776 of the family's 1533-position model. The record is from RNAcentral.
UACGGAGGGGGCUAGCGUUGUUCGGAAUUACUGGGCGUAAAGCGCACGUAGGCGGCUUUGUAAGUUAGAGGUGAAAGCCCGGGGCUCAACUCCGGAAUUGCCUUUAAGACUGCAUCGCUAGAAUUGUGGAGAGGUAAGUGGAAUUCCGAGUGUAGAGGUGAAAUGCGCAGAUAUCAGGAAGAACACCCGUGGCGAAAGCGGCUCUCUGGAACGGUACUGACGCUGAGACGCGAAAGCGUGGGGAGCGAACAGG